GACGAACGCUGGCGGCGUGCUUAACACAUGCAAGUCGAACGGAAAGGCCCUGCUUUUGUGGGGUGCUCGAGUGGCGAACGGGUGAGUAACACGUGAGCAACCUGCCCUUGACUUUGGGAUAACUUCAGGAAACUGGGGCUAAUACCGGAUAGGAGCUCCUGCUGCAUGGUGGGGGUUGGAAAGUUUCGGCGGUUGGGGAUGGACUCGCGGCUUAUCAGCUUGUUGGUGGGGUAGUGGCUUACCAAGGCUUUGACGGGUAGCCGGCCUGAGAGGGUGACCGGCCACAUUGGGACUGAGAUACGGCCCAGACUCCUACGGGAGGCAGCAGUGGGGAAUAUUGCACAAUGGGCGGAAGCCUGAUGCAGCAACGCCGCGUGCGGGAUGACGGCCUUCGGGUUGUAACCCGCUUUCGCCUGUGACGAAGCGUGAGUGACGGUAAUGGGUAAAGAAGCACCGGCUAACUACGUG
Molecule: ribosomal RNA, 468 nt
Filed under: uncultured bacterium
Lineage: Bacteria
Description: partial 16S ribosomal RNA
Rfam family: Bacterial small subunit ribosomal RNA
Source: RNAcentral